This 1079-nucleotide ribosomal RNA is filed under the name uncultured bacterium. Its description in RNAcentral is "bacterial SSU rRNA". It matches the Rfam family "Bacterial small subunit ribosomal RNA", at positions 73 to 1162 of the family's 1533-position model. The record is from RNAcentral.
CCCUGCUUUUGUGGGGUGCUCGAGUGGCGAACGGGUGAGUAACACGUGAGUAACCUGCCCUUGACUUUGGGAUAACUUCAGGAAACUGGGGCUAAUACCGGAUAGGAGCUCCUGCUGCAUGGUGGGGGUUGGAAAGUUUCGGCGGUUGGGGAUGGACUCGCGGCUUAUCAGCUUGUUGGUGGGGUAGUGGCUUACCAAGGCUUUGACGGGUAGCCGGCCUGAGAGGGUGACCGGCCACAUUGGGACUGAGAUACGGCCCAGACUCCUACGGGAGGCAGCAGUGGGGAAUAUUGCACAAUGGGCGGAAGCCUGAUGCAGCAACGCCGCGUGCGGGAUGACGGCCUUCGGGUUGUAAACCGCUUUCGCCUGUGACGAGGCGUGAGUGACGGUAAUGGGUAAAGAAGCACCGGCUAACUACGUGCCAGCAGCCGCGGUGAUACGUAGGGUGCGAGCGUUGUCCGGAUUUAUUGGGCGUAAAGGGCUCGUAGGUGGUUGAUCGCGUCGGAAGUGUAAUCUUGGGGCUUAACCCUGAGCGUGCUUUCGAUACGGGUUGACUUGAGGAAGGUAGGGGAGAAUGGAAUUCCUGGUGGAGCGGUGGAAUGCGCAGAUAUCAGGAGGAACACCAGUGGCGAAGGCGGUUCUCUGGGCCUUUCCUGACGCUGAGGAGCGAAAGCGUGGGGAGCGAACAGGCUUAGAUACCCUGGUAGUCCACGCUGUAAACGGUGGGUACUAGGUGUGGGGUCCAUUCCACGGGUUCCGUGCCGUAGCUAACGCUUUAAGUACCCCGCCUGAGGAGUACGGCCGCAAGGCUAAAACUCAAAGGAAUUGACGGGGCCCCGCACAAGCGGCGGAGCAUGCGGAUUAAUUCGAUGCAACGCGUAGAACCUUACCUGGGUUUGACAUGGAUCGGGAGCGCUCAGAGAUGGGUGUGCCUCUUUUGGGGUCGGUUCACAGGUGGUGCAUGGCUGUCGUCAGCUCGUGUCGUGAGAUGUUGGGUUAAGUCCCGCAACGAGCGCAACCCUUGUUCACUGUUGCCAGCACGUUACGGUGGGGACUCAGUGGAGACCGCCGGGGUCAAC